AUUGAACGCUGGCGGCAGGCCUAACACAUGCAAGUCGAGCGGAUGAAGGGAGCUUGCUCCUGGCUUCAGCGGCGGACGGGUGAGUAAUGCCUAGGAAUCUGCCUGGUAGUGGGGGAUAACGUCCGGAAACGGGCGCUAAUACCGCAUACGUCCUGAGGGAGAAAGUGGGGGAUCUUCGGACCUCACGCUAUCAGAUGAGCCUAGGUCGGAUUAGCUAGUUGGUGGGGUAAAGGCCUACCAAGGCGACGAUCCGUAACUGGUCUGAGAGGAUGAUCAGUCACACUGGAACUGAGACACGGGCCAGACUCCUACGGGAGGCAGCAGUGGGGAAUAUUGGACAAUGGGCGAAAGCCUGAUCCAGCCAUGCCGCGUGUGUGAAGAAGGUCUUCGGAUUGUAAAGCACUUUAAGUUGGGAGGAAGGGCAGUAAGUUAAUACCGUGCUGUUUUGACGUUACCAACAGAAUAAGCACCGGCUAACUUCGUG
RNAcentral lists this ribosomal RNA (484 nucleotides) under uncultured bacterium. RNAcentral's name for it is "partial 16S ribosomal RNA". It matches the Rfam family "Bacterial small subunit ribosomal RNA", at positions 30 to 507 of the family's 1533-position model. The record is from RNAcentral.